RNAcentral lists this non-coding RNA (20 nucleotides) under Arabidopsis thaliana (thale cress). Lineage: Eukaryota; Viridiplantae; Streptophyta; Magnoliopsida; Brassicales; Brassicaceae. The record is from RNAcentral.
UUUGUCUGAGGUGCUACUUU